AGGUGCAGUAGAGAAAAAGGACAUGAACUGAUGGCAGAAAAUAUCAGCCAGACAUUGGCAAAUGUGCGAAAUGACAUGGAGCUUCAGAGAGGGAGGAGAAGAAGAAAGGAAAGUAGGAUAGAGGAGUUCUGCUCUGCAUUAAUUAGGUAUCUGCUGAAGACGACAAUGCUAUCUAGAAGCUUUUCUACACGUGCUCUGUUCCGAGAGGCUCCAUUUUUAAGAGCAUCAUAUCCACGCCGGCUCAAAAGCUGUCCCAAAAGAUAAUCCUGCAAAUGAGUCCAGUGCCAGUGUCACACUGCGCGGAGCUCUGUUGGCAGGCAGCUUGGACAGCAGUGUGGAUAGAGAGACGGAGAGAGAGAAGGAACGAGAGCGGGGGGCUGUGUUGUGAACACAGCUGCGGUGAGAGUGCCGCCCUGCUGAUCUGUGGCAGUGUUGCAUCAGAAAUUAAAGGGACAGUUCACUCAAAAAUUAAAAGAUAGUGGAGAAAUGACAGGAAAGAGAAGGGGAACAGGACUGUGACAGACACAAAUCGGACUUGAACCCAGUUCCCUAUGAGUGGGACAUGCAGUAUGUCGGAACAAUGGCCUAUGGAGGGAGUUGAGAGACAAGGGGUGAGACUGACACUCUAGGGAAGAGAAGUUCGCUCAAGAUCAGGCCGGACUGCUGGAACUGCACGGGUGUCUGAAAUGAGACGAAAGCAUCUAGGGCCAUGGAAAUGACAUUCAGGAUCAUGUCAAGGGCGCUCUCCAUGAGAUUAGAUGAGUUCAGCUGGCACUGCUUUCGCCAUCCGUCUAAUCUGUGCGCUGUCAUACUGACGAGUGAGAGGAGGUCAAUGCUAAUACAAGGAAGACAGAGAGAGCAAGCAGUCUGAGAGUGGAAUGGUGGAACACAGAGCUUUUUACUGUGAGAUUUGGAGAAAUUUACCACCACCAUUACCAAUUUACCUCUGCAGUGAAUGGGUGCCGUCAGAAUGAGAGUCCAAACAGCUGUUAAAAACGUACAACUCCAAGUCUGAAAAGCCUUUGUUUCAGGGAAUUGAUCCAGAAUGAGAGUCCAUGCAGCUUCUUGAGAUGCCACAGCGCAAGAUUAAUGUUCAAGGAGUUCCAGGAUCUCACUUUACUCGCACUCCGAGCAGGAAGUGUCCUGCAGAUGGGCUCCACGCGGCUUUGACGGCUUAGUUGCACCACCUCCCCGCUGUGCAACAUGAUGCUACCUGCGACUGGCUCUCCGAGGACUUAGGGGGGUUGUCGGAUGUGUCAGCCCCCGCUGAGCCGACAGGUGCAGACAAAUCUGCUGUGGAUUAGGUGAUACAUCGGAUGAAGGCGCGCUUAACCAAGCGUCUGUCCCACGAAGAAUGUGUGAAAGAAAGAAGGUGUGUCAUUAUUUAUUUGGAUCAAUCACGGCGGUGUCGGCGGAAUGGGACUCUAUCCGAAAUCACUGAUACACGAACGUACUUUCACAUUUCCUGAAAUGUUCUCUGUUAACCUGAUUCACCGUUUCUGGCACGUUUCCCUAUUUUAACCUGAUUGGGCGGCUGUUGUGUAUAAUAGCUCUUGAGAGACCUGUAGCUUUUGGAAUCAUUCCAGUUUUUUUUAAGGAUACAGCAGUCUUUAGAUGCUUCUCAGAGCCUCUUAUUUGUGUUGACGUAAGUGUGCAAUUGGAAAAAAAAAAGCGUACAGGGUGACUAUGAUUUUGCCAAGUAAGCCGUGUUCCUAGAUCAACAUCCCUGUUGGGCCCACAGAGAAAUAAAAUACCUAUCCACCAAUCAGAUUUUAAUGUAGAGCGAGGAGCUUGAACAACAUUCAAUAACACUUUACAAUAAAUAUAUUAUGAACAAAACUUAACAACAAAAAUAAUAAAUAAACAAGACUUCAUUUUAACAUUUACUCUCCUGAUUCAGUCCUAUGCAAAGUAAUAUGGAAACUAGAAAUCCACUGCACAGCAAAAAUUUGUCUAUAAAUUUGUUUUUAUAAUAACAAAAAAAAAAAUUAGAUAAAGUUUAACUCGCACACGCCAAAAGUGGUGAAAAGUUACAUCUGAAAUGGGUUUCAGAAGUGGGUUAUAGCGCCACCUAUAAAAUUUCAGUGAAGUGCCCCUCAAGCUAUGUUUCACAUGCAAGUAUGAAAUUUGGUAGACACAUGUAAUGCACCAAUACCUACAAAAAAGUCCCCAGGUACAGGGAAGUCUGUUAUUUUGAAUUUUCUUUGCAAGUUGUGUCGUUUUUGCCAUUUCAGGCGUAUUUAAACAAACUCCUCCUAAAGAUUUAAACAGAUCAACAGCAAAUUUGGUGAGUGUAAUCUAAAGCCCUUUGUGACGUUAAAUUGCGAAGAUCUUGAAUUUUCGUUGAAGGGCGUGUCCAUGGUGGCCUGACAAACUUCAAUGUUUCGCCAUGAAAAAGGAAGUUGUUAUAAUUUAGGCAUACAAUGUCCGAUCUUCACCAAAA
Molecule: long non-coding RNA, 2443 nt
Organism: Labeo rohita (rohu)
Lineage: Eukaryota; Metazoa; Chordata; Actinopteri; Cypriniformes; Cyprinidae
Exons: 12
Source: RefSeq, a predicted model, not a curated record